GGAAGUCUACCCAGGUUUGGGGCAUGAACCUGGCAUACAAUGUAGAAUUCUGUGUUUGUUAAGUAACAGCUACAUUGUCUGCUGGGUUUCAAGCUGCCUGGAAAUACAAA
Molecule: microRNA precursor, 110 nt
Organism: Pelodiscus sinensis (Chinese soft-shelled turtle)
Lineage: Eukaryota; Metazoa; Chordata; Testudines; Trionychidae
Gene: MIR221
Product: microRNA 221
Source: Ensembl